CUCCCGCAGCUUCCCGGCGGUGGGCGUAGCUCUCAGCCAGAACAAGUAGCUCCCGCCCUCGCCGCGGGUCUGCUUCUGGGGAGGCAUCGCACAGGUUGGGGGGAGGUUUGGCUCCGCCUCUCAUCUGGGCCUUCCCCAGACACACCCAAAUGGAAGGGGACGUCGGUCAGUGAAUCAGCCGGCCCAAGGAGAGGUUUGGAGUUACAGGCAAGGAGAACCGAUGGACCCGAGAAAGGUGGGCUCCAUGGCACCUGGCCAUCGGGACUACACCCAAACUCUCGGGGAGGAAGCGAAAUGAACCCUUCUGUACACGCUCGGGCCGCUGGAGGUUUGGGGACCCUGGUAAGGUGCGCCGGCCCCACAGGCUGCACUUUUCCGACCCUUGGCAUCGGAGAAGGAGCCUUCGGACCUGGACAGUCCAGACGCACCCAUCCUGGCCUGACAGCUGCAGAGCAAGAAGCACCUGAUGACGGGACUCAGGCAAAUUUCACCUGAGCAUCCUGAUUGCACCAGCUCAGGCUCCCAGCCAACCAAAGCAGUGCCACCUGUUGAUUGAGGAAUGGUCUUAAAGUAAAUACAGAAGAAAACUAAAGGAUUGAGCAUUUGCAAGACAAAGAAUUAAUUUCAUGAAAAUUGAUUUCCUAAU
This is a long non-coding RNA of Eubalaena glacialis (North Atlantic right whale), 646 nucleotides long. RefSeq lists it as uncharacterized. The transcript has 3 exons. Lineage: Eukaryota; Metazoa; Chordata; Mammalia; Artiodactyla; Balaenidae. The record is from RefSeq and is a predicted model, not a curated record.